GCGGAUGUCGUCAAGUGGUUAAGACCAAGGAUUGUGGUUCCUUUAUGCGUGGGUUCGAAUCCCAUCAUCCGCCCCA
This 76-nucleotide transfer RNA is filed under the name Candidatus Gastranaerophilales bacterium. Its description in RNAcentral is "tRNA-His". It matches the Rfam family "tRNA". Rfam says of the family: Transfer RNA (tRNA) molecules are approximately 80 nucleotides in length. Their secondary structure includes four short double-helical elements and three loops (D, anti-codon, and T loops). Further hydrogen bonds mediate the characteristic L-shaped molecular structure. tRNAs have two regions of fundamental functional importance: the anti-codon, which is responsible for specific mRNA codon recognition, and the 3' end, to which the tRNAs corresponding amino acid is attached (by aminoacyl-tRNA synthetases). tRNAs cope with the degeneracy of the genetic code in two manners: having more than one tRNA (with a specific anti-codon) for a particular amino acid; and 'wobble' base-pairing, i.e. permitting non-standard base-pairing at the 3rd anti-codon position. RNAcentral also lists the same sequence under 1 other name. The record is from RNAcentral. Lineage: Bacteria; Bacillati; Candidatus Melainabacteria; Candidatus Gastranaerophilales.